RNAcentral lists this non-coding RNA (45 nucleotides) under Schistosoma haematobium. Lineage: Eukaryota; Metazoa; Platyhelminthes; Trematoda; Strigeidida; Schistosomatidae. The record is from RNAcentral.
GUCCAGCUGACGAGUCCCAAAUAGGACGAAGCGCGCGUCCUGGAU